AUGCAGCCAUAUCUUGAGCUAGCUUCUCUCCGCAUCACCACCACCAUCCCGCUGUCCCCAAGAAUAUAUAGCACGAUCUUCCUCCAGGCCAUGGCUGCCAUGGCCUAUAUAGCCCUCCGGGGUGCGGCAUUGGCCGCCAUCGUCGCCCUCAUCCAUUGGGUGUACAGGUGGCGCCACCCCAAAUGCGCCGGCACGCUCCCGCCGGGAUCCAUGGGUAUCCCCAUCAUCGGCGAGACGCUGCAGUUCUUCGCCCCCAACCCGACCUGCGGCCUCUCCCCCUUCGUCCGGGACAGGGUGAAGAGGUACGGGAGCAUGUUCAAGACGAGCAUCGUGGGGCGCCCGGUGGUGGUGUCGGCGGACCCGGACGUGAACCACUACGUGUUCCAGAACGAGGGGAAGCUGUUCGAGAGCUGGUACCCGGACACCUUCACCGAGAUCUUCGGCCGCGACAACGUCGGCUCCCUGCACGGCUUCAUCUACAAGUACCUCAAGACCCUCGUGCUCCGCCUCUACGGCCAGGAGAACCUCAAGGCGGUGCUCCUCGCCGAGACCGACGCCGCCUGCCGCGGCAGCCUCGCCGCGUGGGCGGCGCAGCCCUGCGUCGACAUCAAAGACGGGCUCUCCACUAUGAUCUUUGAUCUUACGGCCAAGAAGCUGAUCGGCUACGAGCCGACCAAGUCGUCGGAGAGCCUGCGGGAGAAUUUCACGGCGUUCAUUCGCGGCCUGAUCUCGUUCCCCCUCAACAUUCCCGGCACGGCCUAUCACGAAUGCAUGGAGGGGAGGAAGAAGGCGAUGAAGGUGCUCAAGGGCAUGAUGAAGGAGAGGAUGGCGGAUCCGGAGAGGAAGUGCGAGGACUUCUUCGACCACGUGAUCCAGGAACUGAGGAGGGAGAAGCCGCUUCUGACGGAAACCAUCGCGCUGGACCUCAUGUUCGUGCUCCUCUUCGCCAGCUUCGAGACCACGGCGCUGGCGCUCACUCUCGGCGUCAAGCUGCUCACCGAGAACCCCAGAGUCGUCGACGCGCUAACGGAGGAACACGAAGCGAUCGUCAGGAACAGGGAGGACCCAGAUGCCGCGGUCACGUGGGCCGAGUACAAGUCGAUGACCUUCACAGCUCAGGUGAUAAUGGAGAUCGUCAGGCUCGCCAACAUCGUGCCGGGGAUUUUCCGGAAGGCCUUGCAAGACGUUGAGAUCAAAGGCUACACAGUUCCAGCGGGAUGGGGUAUCAUGGUGUGUCCGCCGGCGGUGCACCUAAACCCUGACAUAUACGAAGAUCCGCUGGCGUUCAACCCAUGGAGGUGGCAGGGCAAACCUGAAAUCACCGGUGGAACCAAGCAUUUCAUGGCGUUCGGAGGCGGGCUUCGGUUCUGCGUCGGAACCGAUCUCACCAAGGUCUUGAUGGCAACAUUCAUUCACAACCUGGUUACGAAAUACAGAUGGAAGACGGUCAAAGGAGGAAACAUAGUCCGGACUCCGGGCCUCGGCUUCCCGGAUGGCUUUGACAUCCAGCUAUUCCCUAAGAACUGA
Molecule: ribosomal RNA, 1527 nt
Filed under: Triticum aestivum (bread wheat)
Lineage: Eukaryota; Viridiplantae; Streptophyta; Magnoliopsida; Poales; Poaceae
Description: partial small subunit ribosomal RNA
Source: RNAcentral